UUUCUGGGAAGGGCGGGACGCUCCCCAAAGGGAGGACUACGAAUCCCAGCAAGCAGUGCAGUGAGGGCGCCGGAGGAGGAGCUCGGAGCCGUCGGGCCCCGUCGAAGCAGGCAGUGGCAGCUCCCGGCGUGGGUCACCAUGGGGAAGCGUUACUUCUGCGACUACUGUGACCGGUCCUUCCAGGACAACCUCCACAACCGCAAGAAGCACCUGAACGGCCUGCAGCACCUGAAGGCCAAGAAGCUCUGGUACGACAUGUUCCGAGACGCAGCUGCCAUCUUGCUGGAUGAGCAGAACAAGAGGCCCUGCCGGAAGUUUCUCCUGACAGGCCAGUGCGACUUUGGCUCCAACUGCAGAUUCUCCCACAUGUCAGAGCGAGACCUGCAGGAGCUGAGCGUCCAGGUGGAGGAGGAGAGGCGGGCCAGGGAAUGGCCGCUGGACGUCGCUGAGCUUCCUGAGGUCCGCCUGGAGGACUGGCUGGAGAAGCGAGCCAAGCGGCUGAGCUCCGCCCCAAGCAGCAGGUCACGGCCAAGGCCAGAGCCGGGGCUCCUGGGGCCUUCCCCCAGGUAUUGAGAGAGAAGGGAGGAAGAGGGCUACGGGAUGUGCUCGGGAGCUGCCCGACGUGGUGAGGUCGCCCGCGCCCAGCUGCACCGGGGCUCCAGAACCGGUGAUGUCUGCGGUGGCACCUCAUGGUCAGUGGCCCGGCUGGCACAGUCAAUGGGGUGAGGCCUCCCCUUGAGGCUCCAACAGGAGCACCGCCACGACUCUUAUGUUGGAGCGUGACAGCCCCUCCCUCUGGCCCCGUCAGGAGCGGUUAUGACCUUGGAGGUCCAUCCUCCACACAACCACCCCAACCAGCUUCUAGAACAUUCCCUGGCCCCAGCCCCUGCUGAAACGCUCUGGGCCUCCUCCCUCUCAGGGGAGCCUGGACUCCGCCGCCCACCUCGAAGGGCCCUGGCUAACUCUCUGCCGCCUCCGUGGCCCGUGGGGGUCACCUUCUCACCUCCCCCGUCUCGUCAGGAUGCUUGGCGGCUUCUCAGAUGUGGUGGGCGUGCCUGAUUUUGGGGCGCCUUGUGCUACUUCCUCAGCCUGGAACUGCCCCCCGCCCCCCCAUGUCUGCCUGGCAGAGUCAGACUCAUCCUUCAAGCUUUAGCUGGGACGUCUCCCCUCCCCGGCCUGCCCCGCCCUGGGCCUCCCCCUCACGGCCCGGAGCUCAGGCGGAGCUCAGGCGUCAGCAAUGUGGUGCGGCCCCGGGACACGCUGGCUGAGAGCAUCUGGGGAGAGGGGCCCGCCCUGCGGACCACGGGCUGAGCCCGUGAGAGCCACCGUGUUCCAGUACCCCGUGGGCUGGCCGCCAGUCCAGGAGCUGCCUCCGUCCCUGCGGGCACCCCCGCCUGGGGGGUGGCCCCUUCAGCCCAGCGUCCACUGGGGCUGAGCCCCUC
RNA transcript from Cervus elaphus (red deer), 1442 nucleotides. It is a transcript of the gene named zinc finger matrin-type 5, with no coding region annotated. The transcript is spliced from 8 exons. Lineage: Eukaryota; Metazoa; Chordata; Mammalia; Artiodactyla; Cervidae. The record is from RefSeq and is a predicted model, not a curated record.